This 615-nucleotide ribosomal RNA is filed under the name Tettigonia viridissima. Its description in RNAcentral is "partial 16S ribosomal RNA". It matches the Rfam family "Bacterial large subunit ribosomal RNA", at positions 1853 to 2731 of the family's 2925-position model. Lineage: Eukaryota; Metazoa; Arthropoda; Insecta; Orthoptera; Tettigoniidae. The record is from RNAcentral.
UCGGACCUGCCCCCUGAUGAUUUAUUAAAGGNCCGCGGUAUUUUGACCGUGCAAAGGUAGCAUAGAUCAUUAGUCUUUUAAUUGAAGGCUGGUAUGAAUGGUUNGNCGAGAUAUAAGCUGUCUCUGUAUAAUGAUAUAUAAUUUAACUUUUGAGUCAAAAGGCUUAAAUAAAUAUAAAAGACGAGAAGACCCUAUAGAGCUUUAUAUAUAAUUGUACUUGUAUUAUUUGGAGGUAUUGUAAAUAAGUAUGAAUUAUAUGUUUUGUUGGGGUGACAUGAAGAUAUAAUAAACUCUUUAUUAUUUAAACAUUGAUUUAUGAUUAAUUGAUCCAUUAUUAAUGAUUACAAGAUAAAGUUACCUUAGGGAUAACAGCGUAAUUUUUUUUGAGAGUUCUUAUCGACAAGAAAGAUUGCGACCUCGAUGUUGGAUUAAGGAAUAUGACUAGGUGUAGAAGUUUAGUUAAUAAGUCUGUUCGACUUUUAAAUCCUUACAUGAUCUGAGUUCAGACCGGCGUGAGCCAGGUCGGUUUCUAUCUUUAUAUAUUAUUAGUUAAAUGCUUUAGUACGAAAGGACCAAGCAUUGGGAAAAUUUUUUAGAAUUUGAAUAAUAUUAACA